This 495-nucleotide ribosomal RNA is filed under the name uncultured bacterium. Its description in RNAcentral is "partial 16S ribosomal RNA". It matches the Rfam family "Bacterial small subunit ribosomal RNA", at positions 30 to 507 of the family's 1533-position model. The record is from RNAcentral.
UGAACGCUGGCGGCGUGCCUAAUACAUGCAAGUCGAGCGCACAGACGCGGAGCUUGCUCCUCUGACGUUAGCGGCGGACGGGUGAGUAACACGUGGAUAACCUACCUAUAAGACUGGGAUAACUUCGGGAAACCGGAGCUAAUACCGGAUAAUAUAUUGAACCGCAUGGUUCAAUAGUGAAAGACGGUUUUGCUGUCACUUAUAGAUGGAUCCGCGCCGCAUUAGCUAGUUGGUAAGGUAACGGCUUACCAAGGCGACGAUGCGUAGCCGACCUGAGAGGGUGAUCGGCCACACUGGAACUGAGACACGGUCCAGACUCCUACGGGAGGCAGCAGUAGGGAAUCUUCCGCAAUGGGCGAAAGCCUGACGGAGCAACGCCGCGUGAGUGAUGAAGGUCUUCGGAUCGUAAAACUCUGUUAUUAGGGAAGAACAAAUGUGUAAGUAACUAUGCACGUCUUGACGGUACCUAAUCAGAAAGCCACGGCUAACUACGUG